RNAcentral lists this ribosomal RNA (255 nucleotides) under Klebsiella sp. H-Nf2. RNAcentral describes it as "partial 23S ribosomal RNA". It matches the Rfam family "Bacterial large subunit ribosomal RNA", at positions 2102 to 2356 of the family's 2925-position model. Lineage: Bacteria; Pseudomonadati; Pseudomonadota; Gammaproteobacteria; Enterobacterales; Enterobacteriaceae. The record is from RNAcentral.
UACUAUAGCUUGACACUGAACAUUGAGCCUUGAUGUGUAGGAUAGGUGGGAGGCUUUGAAGCGUGGACGCCAGUCUGCGUGGAGCCAACCUUGAAAUACCACCCUUUAAUGUUUGAUGUUCUAACGUGGACCCGUAAUCCGGGUUGCGGACAGUGUCUGGUGGGUAGUUUGACUGGGGCGGUCUCCUCCCAAAGAGUAACGGAGGAGCACGAAGGUUAGCUAAUCCUGGUCGGACAUCAGGAGGUUAGUGCAAUG